RNAcentral lists this ribosomal RNA (914 nucleotides) under uncultured bacterium. RNAcentral describes it as "bacterial SSU rRNA". It matches the Rfam family "Bacterial small subunit ribosomal RNA", at positions 33 to 935 of the family's 1533-position model. The record is from RNAcentral.
ACGCUGGCGGCAUGCUUUACACAUGCAAGUCGGACGGCAGCACAGAGAAGCUUGCUUCUUGGGUGGCGAGUGGCGAACGGGUGAGUAACAUAUCGGAACGUACCGAGCAGUGGGGGAUAACUAAUCGAGAGAUUAGCUAAUACCGCAUAUAUUCUGAGGAAGAAAGCAGGGGACCAUUUGGCCUUGCGCUGUUUGAGCGGCCGAUAUCUGAUUAGCUAGUUGGUGGGGUAAAGGCCUACCAAGGCGACGAUCAGUAGCGGGUCUGAGAGGAUGAUCCGCCACACUGGGACUGAGACACGGCCCAGACUCCUACGGGAGGCAGCAGUGGGGAAUUUUGGACAAUGGGCGCAAGCCUGAUCCAGCCAUGCCGCGUGUCUGAAGAAGGCCUUCGGGUUGUAAAGGACUUUUGUCAGGGAAGAAAAGGGCGGGGUUAAUACCCCUGUCUGAUGACGGUACCUGAAGAAUAAGCACCGGCUAACUACGUGCCAGCAGCCGCGGUAAUACGUAGGGUGCGAGCGUUAAUCGGAAUUACUGGGCGUAAAGCGGGCGCAGACGGUUACUUAAGCAGGAUGUGAAAUCCCCGGGCUCAACCUGGGAACUGCGUUCUGAACUGGGUGACUAGAGUGUGUCAGAGGGAGGUAGAAUUCCACGUGUAGCAGUGAAAUGCGUAGAGAUGUGGAGGAAUACCGACGGCGAAGGCAGCCUCCUGGGAUAACACUGACGUUCAUGCCCGAAAGCGUGGGUAGCAAACAGGAUUAGAUACCCUGGUAGUCCACGCCCUAAACGAUGUCAAUUAGCUGUUGGGCAGCAUGACUGCUUAGUAGCGAAGCUAACGCGUGAAAUUGACCGCCUUGGGGAGUACGGUCGCAAGAUUAAAACUCAAAGGAAUUGACGGGGACCCGCACAAGCGGUGG